AUGGUGGAACUGGAGUCGCAGGACGCGGCGACGAUGAAUGUGGCCUCCGCGAAGCACGUCACGGCCACCGUGGCGCUGCGUGUCGGGGCCGCCGUCGCGUCGCUGGCCGCCGCCGUCCUCGUCGUCACCAACCGGCAGGAGCGCUGGGGGGUGGAGGUCAACUUCACCAUGUUCGACGUCUGGGUGGCAUUCGUGGCGACCAACUUCUUCUGCACAGCAUACUCGCUGCUGACGGCCAUCUUCGUCAAGAAGCUCAUCGGCAAGCGCUGGCUGCACACCGUGGACCAGCUGGUGGUGAACCUACAGACGGCGGCAACGGCGGGCGCAGGGGCCAUCGGGUCGGUGGCUAUGUGGGGGAACAAGACCAGCGGGUGGUACGCGGUGUGCCGCCUCUACCGGAGGUACUGCGACGUCGGCGCGGUCGCGCUCGCGCUCUCCUUUGCCGCCUUCCUCUCUCUCGGCAGUGCCUGCGCACUCUCCCGUUACCCCAGGGCGCCG
This 498-nucleotide ribosomal RNA is filed under the name Triticum aestivum (bread wheat). Its description in RNAcentral is "partial small subunit ribosomal RNA". Lineage: Eukaryota; Viridiplantae; Streptophyta; Magnoliopsida; Poales; Poaceae. The record is from RNAcentral.